Molecule: small nuclear RNA, 151 nt
Filed under: Saimiri boliviensis boliviensis (Bolivian squirrel monkey)
Lineage: Eukaryota; Metazoa; Chordata; Mammalia; Primates; Cebidae
Description: U1 spliceosomal RNA (ENSSBOG00000005926.1)
Rfam family: U1 spliceosomal RNA
About the family: U1 is a small nuclear RNA (snRNA) component of the spliceosome (involved in pre-mRNA splicing).
Source: RNAcentral
AGAAUACAUGAGAUGAUCACAAAGGUGAUUUUCCCAGGGUGAGGCUUAUCUAUUGCACUCCGGAUGUGCUGACCCCUGUGAUUUCCCCAAAUGUGGGAAACCCGACUGUGUAAUUUGUGGUAGUGGGGGACUGCGUUCGUGCUUUCCCCUG